This is a long non-coding RNA of Gadus macrocephalus (Pacific cod), 3090 nucleotides long. RefSeq lists it as uncharacterized. NCBI's taxonomy places the organism in Eukaryota, Metazoa, Chordata, Actinopteri, Gadiformes, Gadidae. The transcript is spliced from 3 exons. The record is from RefSeq and is a predicted model, not a curated record.
GCCUCCAGACGAUAUUAUGAAUCUCAAACGACUGGGUCGGGUUCUCUGACGUCUCUGGUUCUUCCACUUCCACAUCAAUCUGAAGUAGACUGAACCGCGACAUGGAGGAGAAAGGGAUUGUUGACCGCGAUUGUUUCCCGCCGGAGCCGCGGGGCCUGUUCCGCGGCGGCGGUGCCCCGCGGCGGCGGGAGGGUGCCCCGCCAGUGCUGCUGAGGCAGCCGGCAUCGUGGCUCCGGCGGGGGACAAUCGCGGACAAUUCCUUUUGUCAAAGGCAGAGCAGGAUGGCUAGUGCUCGUUUUACACCUAAUGCCAUUUCUAGCUACUGGGGGACCAUAUGCAGGCUAGGGGAACUCAUAUUAAUGUUAGAAAACCUCCUAAAGUGAAUUUUAAGUGUCAGGACGUACAAUACAAGUGCGUAAGGGGGGCUAUGCAGUCCAGGUGAACUCUGAACAAGUGAGUCUUUUGUGUAAGCUGGUGAGUGGCUGGAGACUUGAAAUCUGCAGGUUUUCUUGAUAAAUCUAAUCUAUUUAUAAAAUGAAAUGUCAGAAUGGAUUUCUUUCGGUGGAUUCAAAGUGAACAAAAACACGUCCUAGUCGGUCCCAAAUAAGAAUAAAUGUCACCCCAGGUUACUCGAGAAAAAUAUUUGAAAGAACAUCACCAGUUACAUAUAAUAACACUGAAUUCAACUCAGCUCAGCCGACUCAUCGACGCAAAGACAUUGAUUCAAUCAACAUGAAGCUGAGUGGUUUCAGGGAUAGCGGCAUCCAUAUGAAUCACCAUGGCAACGAUAGAACACGUUGCAUUAACUAACAGGCUAAACAUUGUAUACAUUCACUGAAGAUUACAAAACGGAAAUAUCCAUUUAUCGCUAGAAAAGUUUGAAACUAUCUAAAAAUGUCCACAGAAUAAAUCUAAUGUCAUCCAUUUUGUUUUGGCACAACGGUGAGAUACGUGACAUUCAUGUUGCUGUUUCUUCAAACAGGCGAUAGGGGGCGCUGUACAAGUGAGAGCUCAUAUGGCUAGUUUUGGGUCACACCAACGGUCUAUUCUGUCGUUUAGGUUGGAGAACAGGCUGAUAAAUAAGCAAUAGUCUGUUCUGCAUACUCAAGUUUGGAUCUCGUUAGUUAUUCACGGUCUAUCUGUCGAUACCUAUCGUUAUUUGAGGGUUUGGGUAUUAUAUUUAUAUUGGAUUGAUAACGCCUAUAUCUCCCCAUUGGACUGGUCAAAAGAUAGAUAUUAAGUUAAUCGAGCCCCCAAAAAGUUUGUUGCCGAAAUUCCCAUGGCUAUAACUUAUGGUCAAGGUUAAACGCCCGAUGGAUAAAAAUAUAUGUAGGCCUAUAAUGCAGAUUUUGUAGGCCUACUUUAUAUUUUGCGGUAGAAUUUGAAGGUUCCUGUUCAGUCAGUCUGGUGCUCCUGGUGACUUUUCUCCUAGAGGUUUACGCUGGAAAUGGAACCAAAAACACAAGGUUAGAAAAUUGAAGCUGUGAUGACUUAGUGAUACCAACAUGGGAAUGACGGAGAAGAGGUAGAGCAGAACAUUAACACUGCCAGGGUGCAGGGUCGAAUCCCGUCUAGCAGGCCCGGCCCUGGGCAGAGGCAGCAGAGGCGAAUGCUAAAGGCGCAUCCAUCGGCAGGGGGCGCCAAAAAUAUGUAUUUUUAUUUAUUUUUUUAUUUUUUUGCAUACUGUAUUCAUCUAACUUUAACUUCAAUGUUUAUAUUACUUAGUACCAGUAGUUAUGUCUAAAUAAAUAUUAGACAACAUAAUAACAUGUAAAAUAAAAGAGCGCCCUAGUUUCUGUUUCCCCCCUCAUUCUGACCGGAGAGGAGAAAGCUCUCUAUUUGCACAUCACAAUGUCAAAGAAACCCAAACACUCUGGUGCCCAGGGGAGGAAGAGAAAGAAAGAAGAGGAGGAAAAACGGGAAAAGACAGAAAUACAGUAACUUUAAUUUAUUUAUCUUUAAUGUUGACCUGGCUGGCUAUAGCCAACUGGUCACUUUGUCGGGCUCUUGUUCAUCUUUCUAUCUUUAUUUCUAUGGAGCUAACUGUUCCCUAUACAAAACUCAGCUUAAUACAUGGCUAUUAGUUUAAUUUAUUCACUUAUCGAAGCAUUAUGUGGUUUUAAAUGUGGUUUUAUUAUUAAGUAAAUACAAAUAGUCCGCCAAAAGUUGUCAGGGCGUAGCGCGUUGCCAAGCUACGUGUAAACAACUUAACCAGAGUUAACUAGUCAUGCAGUGUUUGUUUUUAAAAAAGAAAAGGAAUGUUAGCUCUUUACCUAGCUGGUCCGCUGCUCAAUCCAAACCCACACGCUUCAAUGAAAAUCAAAACAUGUCAGCUAAGUACAUAGGUCCAUAACAGUUUGUAACCCACAGUAAAAUUGGGGCACUAUCCUUAAAUUAUCCAAUGCAUAGUAACCAUUGUUUCAGCAGUGUUUAUUUUCAAGCUGAUUUGGAGGAUAGUUUGUGGUUUGCAUAUCUUACAUUUCCCAUAUCUUUCAUACAAUAAUGUAUUAUUGUAUUUUUUUUACACUUCACUUGAGUGCUUGUUUAAUCUCUGGUUAGAACCAAGCUAUAAAAAAUGUAAACCACACUACAUUUAAUUGUAUUUACAAUAAUUUGAAUCUGAAGUCACUCAAAACGUAAUACGUUUUUUGUGUUUAAUUUUCUAUCUAAAUUAAAAGAGUCUCAAAGACAAAGCUUUGCAGCUUAUCUGAGUGUAUGAACAUUGGUAGUCGAAUUUACUGUGCGAUCCAAAGGGGUAGGGGGCGGCAGCAAAAAUCUUGCCUGGGGCGCCAAAUUGGUCAGGGCAGAGCACGGUAUUGAAACUGCCAAGGUUACGGUUUUGAUUCCUCCUCGAGGUUUAAGGCUCGUAGAGGUUUAAGGUUCCUAGAGGUUUAAGGCUCCUAGAGGUUUAAGGUUCCUGUUCAGUUCGUCGUAGAGGUUUAAGGGCGAGAGCAGCGGUGCUCCCUCUUAGUGUUGAGGGUUGCAACGCCACGCCCUUGUUCAUAUCAAGCUAAACUAAUCCCACAUGCGCUUUCAACUUAUAUGUUCUAUACUGGUCCUAUGGUAACAUAUGAACAUCUCCCUCUCCCU